UCACUUUGGCAGCACAUAUACUAAAAUUCAGAUGAUAUAGAGAUUAGCAUGGACCUUGAACAAGGAUGGUGUGCAAAUUUGUGAAGUGUUCCACACUUAA
Molecule: small nuclear RNA, 100 nt
Filed under: Jaculus jaculus (lesser Egyptian jerboa)
Lineage: Eukaryota; Metazoa; Chordata; Mammalia; Rodentia; Dipodidae
Source: RNAcentral